AGACCCUUAGGAAACUAGGGGUGCUUCCAUCUGGAAGAAUCUGGAGACAGGUGCUGCAUGGCUGUCGUCAGCUCGUGUCGUGAGAUGUUGGGUUAAGUCCCGCAACGAGCGCAACCCUUGCCUUUAGUUGCCAGCAGUUCGGCUGGGCACUCUAAAGGGACUGCCGGUGUUAAACCGGAGGAAGGUGGGGAUGACGUCAAGUCCUCAUGGCCUUUAUGACCAGGGCUACACACGUACUACAAUGGCCGAUACAAAGGGCAGCGACACUGCGAGGUGAAGCCAAUCCCGUAAAAUCGGUCUCAGUCCGGAUUGGAGUCUGCAACUCGACUCCAUGAAGUUGGAAUCGCCAGUAAUCGUGGAUCAGCAUGCCACGGUGAAUACGUUCCCGGGCCUU
This 394-nucleotide ribosomal RNA is filed under the name uncultured Desulfobulbus sp. RNAcentral's name for it is "bacterial SSU rRNA". It matches the Rfam family "Bacterial small subunit ribosomal RNA", at positions 993 to 1382 of the family's 1533-position model. Lineage: Bacteria; Pseudomonadati; Thermodesulfobacteriota; Desulfobulbia; Desulfobulbales; Desulfobulbaceae. The record is from RNAcentral.